GUCCACGCCGUAAACGAUGAUAACUAGCUGUCGGGCUCUUGGAGCUUCGGUGGCGCAGCUAACGCAUUAAGUUAUACGCCUGGGAGUACGGCCGCAAGGUUAAACUCAAAGGAAUUGACGGGGCCUGCACAAGCGGUGGAGCAUGUGGUUUAAUUCGAUGCAACGCGAAGAACCUUACCUACCCUUGACAUCCAGAGAAUCUGUUAGAGAUAGUAGAGUGCCUUCGGGAACUCUGAGACAGGUGCUGCAUGGCUGUCGU
Molecule: ribosomal RNA, 259 nt
Filed under: uncultured bacterium
Lineage: Bacteria
Description: partial 16S ribosomal RNA
Rfam family: Bacterial small subunit ribosomal RNA
Source: RNAcentral